UACAGAGGUCUCAAGCGUUGUUCGGAUUCAUUGGGCGUAAAGGGUGUGUAGGUGGCGCCGUAAGUCGGGUGUGAAAUUUCGGAGCUUAACUCCGAAACUGCAUUCGAUACUGCGGUGCUUGAGGACUGGAGAGGAGACUGGAAUUCAUGGUGUAGCAGUGAAAUGCGUAGAGAUCAUGAGGAAGACCAGUGGCGAAGGCGGGUCUCUGGACAGUUACUGACGCUGAUGCACGAAGGCCAGGGGAGCAAACGGG
RNAcentral lists this ribosomal RNA (253 nucleotides) under uncultured bacterium. Its description in RNAcentral is "partial 16S ribosomal RNA". It matches the Rfam family "Bacterial small subunit ribosomal RNA", at positions 524 to 776 of the family's 1533-position model. The record is from RNAcentral.